Molecule: ribosomal RNA, 494 nt
Filed under: Leptobrachella petrops
Lineage: Eukaryota; Metazoa; Chordata; Amphibia; Anura; Megophryidae
Description: partial 16S ribosomal RNA
Rfam family: Bacterial large subunit ribosomal RNA
Source: RNAcentral
UUCAACGGCCGCGGUACUCUGACCGUGCAAAGGUAGCGUAAUCACUUGUCUCUUAAAUAGAGACUAGUAUGAAUGGCAUCACGAGGACUAAACUGUCUCCCUCCCCUAAUCAGUGAAACUGAUCUCCCCGUGCAGAAGCGAGGAUAAGCCUAUAAGACGAGAAGACCCUGUGGAGCUUAAAAUCAAAAACCAACUGCUUAAUUACACCUACUCUAAAGGAAGCACUUUCGCAGAUCUGGUAAAGAUUUUUAGCUGGGGCGGCUAUGGAGAAAAAACUAUCCUCCAUGAAUACUUUGCUAAGGGCUACUGCUCUAAGCAUUAAUAACUUAACUUAAAUUGACCCUUUUUGAUCAACGGACCAAGUUACCCCAGGGAUAACAGCGCAAUCCACUUCUAGAGUUCAUAUCGACAAGUGGGCUUACGACCUCGAUGUUGGAUCAGGGCACCCCAGUGGUGCAGCCGCUACUAAAGGUUCGUUUGUUCAACGAUUAAAG